UCCUCGUUAGUAUGGUGGUGAGUAUCCCCGCC
Molecule: non-coding RNA, 32 nt
Filed under: Homo sapiens (human)
Lineage: Eukaryota; Metazoa; Chordata; Mammalia; Primates; Hominidae
Also listed under: 1 other name
Source: RNAcentral